RNAcentral lists this ribosomal RNA (203 nucleotides) under uncultured bacterium. Its description in RNAcentral is "partial 16S ribosomal RNA". It matches the Rfam family "Bacterial small subunit ribosomal RNA", at positions 328 to 545 of the family's 1533-position model. The record is from RNAcentral.
ACGCUCGACACCUACGGGGGCAGCAGUGGGGAAUAUUGCACAAUGGGGGAAACCCUGAUGCAGCGACGCCGCGUGAGCGAAGAAGUAUUUCGGUAUGUAAAGCUCUAUCAGCAGGGAAGAAACUGACGGUACCUGACUAAGAAGCACCGGCUAAAUACGUGCCAGCACGCCGGUGGUAAUCUGAGGCGGGCGUGGACGAAGGC